RNAcentral lists this ribosomal RNA (480 nucleotides) under uncultured bacterium. Its description in RNAcentral is "partial 16S ribosomal RNA". It matches the Rfam family "Bacterial small subunit ribosomal RNA", at positions 28 to 523 of the family's 1533-position model. The record is from RNAcentral.
GACGAACGCUGGCGGCGUGCCUAACACAUGCAAGUCGAGCGAAUGAAGUUCCUUCGGGAACGGAUUUAGCGGCGGACGGGUGAGUAACACGUGGGCAACCUGCCUCAUAGAGGGGAAUAGCCUUCCGAAAGGGAGAUUAAUACCGCAUAAGAUUGUAGUACCGCAUGGUACAGCAAUUAAAGGAGUAAUCCGCUAUGAGAUGGGCCCGCGGCGCAUUAGCUAGUUGGUGAGGUAACGGCUCACCAAGGCGACGAUGCGUAGCCGACCUGAGAGGGUGAUCGGCCACAUUGGGACUGAGACACGGCCCAGACUCCUACGGGAGGCAGCAGUGGGGAAUAUUGCACAAUGGGGGAAACCCUGAUGCAGCAACGCCGCGUGAGUGAUGACGGCCUUCGGGUUGUAAAGCUCUGUCUUCAGGGACGAUAAUGACGGUACCUGAGGAGGAAGCCACGGCUAACUACGUGCCAGCCGCCGCCGUAA